UGUGCAGGCGGGGUUGCAAGUGGUGUAUGAAAUCUCCAGGCUUAACCUGGAGGGGUUAUGCCAGACUGCAACUCUAGAGGACGAGAGAGGGGGGUGGAAUUCCGGGUGUAGUGGUGAAAUGCGUAGAGAUCCGGAGGAACCCCAGAGGCGAAGGCGGCCCCCUGGCUCGUACCUGACGCUCAGCCACGAAAGCAUGGGGAGCGAACGGGAUUAGAAACCCCGGUAGUCCAUGCCGUAAACGAUGCAAACUAGGCGCUGACGGUCUCAACCCCGCCGGUGCCGCAGCUAACGCGAUAAGUUUGCCGCCUGGGGAGUACGGUCGCAAGGCUAAA
This 332-nucleotide ribosomal RNA is filed under the name uncultured bacterium. Its description in RNAcentral is "bacterial SSU rRNA". It matches the Rfam family "Bacterial small subunit ribosomal RNA", at positions 568 to 898 of the family's 1533-position model. The record is from RNAcentral.